CAACGUCUCUGGGGGUGGUUCUUAUCAUAAGAACCUGAGAUUAUACCCUUUGAACCUGAUCCGGGUAAUGCCGGCGAAGGGAAUCGGCCAUAUCUCUAC
Molecule: non-coding RNA, 99 nt
Filed under: Spirochaetaceae bacterium
Lineage: Bacteria; Pseudomonadati; Spirochaetota; Spirochaetia; Spirochaetales; Spirochaetaceae
Description: TPP sequence
Rfam family: TPP riboswitch aptamer (THI element)
About the family: Vitamin B(1) in its active form thiamin pyrophosphate (TPP) is an essential coenzyme that is synthesised by coupling of pyrimidine and thiazole moieties in bacteria. The previously detected thiamin-regulatory element, thi box was extended, resulting in a new, highly conserved RNA secondary structure, the THI element, which is widely distributed in eubacteria and also occurs in some archaea.
Source: RNAcentral